GAUGAACGCUGGCGGCGUGCCUAAUACAUGCAAGUCGAGCGAACGGACGAGAAGCUUGCUUCUCUGAUGUUAGCGGCGGACGGGUGAGUAACACGUGGAUAACCUACCUAUAAGACUGGGAUAACUUCGGGAAACCGGAGCUAAUACCGGAUAAUAUUUUGAACCGCAUGGUUCAAAAGUGAAAGACGGUCUUGCUGUCACUUAUAGAUGGAUCCGCGCUGGAUUAGCUAGUUGGUAAGGUAACGGCUUACCAAGGCAACGAUGCAUAGCCGACCUGAGAGGAGGAUAGGCCACACGGGAAAUGAGACAAGGGCCAGACGCCGACGGGAGGGAGCAGUAGGGAAGCUUCCGGAAUGGGCGAAAGCCUGACGGAGUAACGGCGAGGGAGUGAAGAAGGUUUUCGGAUCGUAAAACCUUGUUAUUAGGGAAAAACCAAAGUGGAAGGAACCGUGCACCGCUUUACGGUACCUAAUAAGAAAGCCACGGCUAACUACGUG
Molecule: ribosomal RNA, 497 nt
Filed under: uncultured bacterium
Lineage: Bacteria
Description: partial 16S ribosomal RNA
Rfam family: Bacterial small subunit ribosomal RNA
Source: RNAcentral